Molecule: ribosomal RNA, 460 nt
Filed under: uncultured bacterium
Lineage: Bacteria
Description: partial 16S ribosomal RNA
Rfam family: Bacterial small subunit ribosomal RNA
Source: RNAcentral
CCUACGGGAGGCAGCAGUGAGGAAUAUUGGUCAAUGGGCGCAAGCCUGAACCAGCCAAGUCGCGUGAGGGAUGAAGGUCCUAUGGAUUGUAAACCUCUUUUGUCGGGGAGCAAGGCCCGCCACGUGUGGCGGGAAGGAGAGUACCCGAAGAAAAAGCAUCGGCUAACUCCGUGCCAGCAGCCGCGGUAAUACGGAGGAUGCGAGCGUUAUCCGGAUUUAUUGGGUUUAAAGGGUGCGUAGGCGGAAGGUUAAGUCAGCGGUCAAAUGUCGGUGCUCAACACCGGCCUGCCGUUGAAACUGGUCGUCUUGAGUGAGCGAGAAGUAUGCGGAAUGCGUGGUGUAGCGGUGAAAUGCAUAGAUAUCACGCAGAACUCCGAUUGCGAAGGCAGCAUACCGGCGCUCAACUGACGCGGAGGCACGAAAGCGUGGGGAUCGAACAGGAUUAGAUACCCUGGUAGUC